This 422-nucleotide ribosomal RNA is filed under the name uncultured bacterium. RNAcentral's name for it is "bacterial SSU rRNA". It matches the Rfam family "Bacterial small subunit ribosomal RNA", at positions 355 to 774 of the family's 1533-position model. The record is from RNAcentral.
UGAGGAAUAUUGGUCAAUGGGUGCAAGCCUGAACCAGCCAUCCCGCGUGAAGGACGACUGCCCUAUGGGUUGUAAACUUCUUUUGUAUAGGGAUAAACCUACCCUCAUGAGGGUAGCUGAAGGUACUAUACGAAUAAGCACCGGCUAACUCCGUGCCAGCAGCCGCGGUAAUACGGAGGGUGCAAGCGUUAUCCGGAUUUAUUGGGUUUAAAGAGUCCGUAGGCGGACUUAUAAGUCAGUGGUGAAAGCCUGUCGCUUAACGAUAGAACUGCCAUUGAUACUGUAAGUCUUGAGUAUAUUUGAGGUAGCUGGAAUAAGUAGUGUAGCGGUGAAAUGCAUAGAUAUUACUUAGAACACCCAUUGCGAAGGCAGGUUACCAAGAUAUAACUGACGCUGAGGGACGAAAGCGUGGGGAGCGAACA